RNAcentral lists this ribosomal RNA (431 nucleotides) under uncultured bacterium. Its description in RNAcentral is "partial 16S ribosomal RNA". It matches the Rfam family "Bacterial small subunit ribosomal RNA", at positions 29 to 507 of the family's 1533-position model. The record is from RNAcentral.
AACGAACGCUGGCGGCAUGCUUAACACAUGCAAGUCGAGCGGCCCGCAAGUGCAGCGGCAGUCGGCUGAGUAAGGCGUGGGGACUUACCUUUGGGUUCGGAACAACUCCGGGAAAGUUGAGCUAAUGCCGGUUAGGCUCUAACUGGGUAAGAUUUAGCGCCGAGAGAUCUGCUGGCGGCUGAUUAGCCGGUUGGUGAUGUACCGGCUCACCAAGGCGACGAUCAGUAGCUGGUCUGAGAGGAUGAUCAGCCACACUGGGACUGAGCCACGGCCCAGACUCCUCCGGGAGGCAGCAGUGGGGAAAAUUGGAGAAUGGGCGCAAGAGUGAUGCAGCCAUGCCGCGUGAGUGAUGCAGGCCUUAGGCUUGUAACGCUCUUUUGUCCGGGAAGAUAAUGACUGUACCGGAAGAAUAAGCCCCGGCUAACUUCGUG